GAUGAAGAACGUAGCGAAAUGCGAUAAGUAAUGUGAAUUGCAGAAUUCAGUGAAUCAUCGAAUCUUUGAACGCACAUUGCGCCCGCCAGUAUUCUGGCGGGCAUGCCUGUUCGAGCGUCAUUUCAACCAUCAAGCCCCCGGGCUUGUGUUGGGGACCUGCGGCUGCCGCAGGCCCUGAGAAGCAGUGGCGGACUCGCUGUCACACCGAGCGUAGUAGAUUUUAUCUCGCUCUGGGCGUGCUGCGGGUUCCGGCCGUUAAACCACCCUUUUAACCCAAGGUUGACCUCGGAUCAGGUAGGAAGACCCGCUGAACUUAAGCAUAUCAAUAAGCGGAGGA
RNAcentral lists this unclassified non-coding RNA (337 nucleotides) under soil metagenome. RNAcentral's name for it is "partial contains 5.8S ribosomal RNA, internal transcribed spacer 2, and large subunit ribosomal RNA". The stretch from base 1 to 120 matches the Rfam family "5.8S ribosomal RNA", at positions 35 to 154 of the family's 154-position model. The record is from RNAcentral.